This 429-nucleotide ribosomal RNA is filed under the name bacterium. RNAcentral describes it as "partial 16S ribosomal RNA". It matches the Rfam family "Bacterial small subunit ribosomal RNA", at positions 355 to 776 of the family's 1533-position model. The record is from RNAcentral.
UAGGGAAUCUUCGGCAAUGGGGGCAACCCUGACCGAGCAACGCCGCGUGAGUGAAGAAGGUUUUCGGAUCGUAAAGCUCUGUUGUAAGAGAAGAACGUGUGUGAGAGUGGAAAGUUCACACAGUGACGGUAACUUACCAGAAAGGGACGGCUAACUACGUGCCAGCAGCCGCGGUAAUACGCAGGUCCCGAGCGUUGUCCGGAUUUAUUGGGCGUAAAGCGAGCGCAGGCGGUUUAAUAAGUCUGAAGUUAAAGGCAGUGGCUUAACCAUUGUUCGCUUUGGAAACUGUUAAACUUGAGUGCAGAAGGGGAGAGUGGAAUUCCAUGUGUAGCGGUGAAAUGCGUAGAUAUAUGGAGGAACACCGGUGGCGAAAGCGGCUCUCUGGUCUGUAACUGACGCUGAGGCUCGAAAGCGUUGGGAGCAAACAGG